AUGAUAAUUAUAAUAAUAAUGAUGAUAAUAAUAAUGGGAAGUGAAGGGUGCAGUGCCUGCCCCGCAGUCCACAACAAACCGUUCCCCAAAACGUCCAAAACGAGCAACAACGAGCGACUUGGGAAGCGCACAGCGGUCUCAAUUCUCCCUUUUUUAAUAUUUCUUUUCAUAAAAAGCCGGCGGGUGCUCUUCCCGGAGCCAGGCCGCGUUUGGUGGCUUCACCCCGGGGGCUGCCCCGAGCCCCUCACCCUCCACACCCCCGCACCGGCGGGCGCGGAGCCUUCACCACCCUCACCCCCGUGCCGUCAGGACCCCUUUAUUUUUUAUUUUAUUUUUUUUAAUUCUUUCCCUGGGAGGGCCUGGGCGGCGCCGAGCGCCCCGCCGGAGCCCUGCAUUUCCUCUUCCUCCCGGAGCAGGGGAGGAAGGGGCCGGCGGCGCCCCCUCAGCCCCGCCGCCGCCGUUGCUGCGGCAGCGGGCGGAGAGGGAGGGAAGGCAAAGAGAAGGAAGGGAAGGGAAAGGAAGGGAAGGAAGGGAAAGGAAGGGAAGGGAAGGAGGGACGGAGGGAGGCGGCGCCAGGGGCCGGCGGGGCCCGGAGUCACCGUGUCACGGCGCCCGGGAAGCCGCCGCCGCCGGAUCCGCCCCCCGCAGGGCGAGCGAGGGAGGGAGAGAGGAAGAGGAGGAGGAGGAGGAGGAAGAGGAGGAGGAGGAGGGGGAGGAGGGGGCCGGCUGCUCGCCGCCUCUCAUCUUUUGGCCUCCUUUCGGCCCCUCUCCUCUCGCACCGGGGCUCCGUGCGUGCAGCAGCGGCAGCAGCAGCGGCAGCGGCGGGGGGUGGCCAGGCCGCAGCGGCGCUCCGAGCAGCCCCGCCACGGGCCCGGGCUGGCCGCCUCCGGACUAGGAUGUCCCGGCAUGAAGGUCAGAUUUGGUCUUCCCCCAUCACUUCUGCCAUGUCCUGGUGCCAGAUUCUUUUUGGGAGGCAAUGUUUCUUGUCUUGACUGACAAGAGGUGCUGUCUCUG
RNAcentral lists this long non-coding RNA (1014 nucleotides) under Anas platyrhynchos platyrhynchos (common mallard). RNAcentral describes it as "lncRNA (ENSAPLG00000024263.1)". The record is from RNAcentral. Lineage: Eukaryota; Metazoa; Chordata; Aves; Anseriformes; Anatidae.